Molecule: ribosomal RNA, 401 nt
Filed under: uncultured bacterium
Lineage: Bacteria
Description: bacterial SSU rRNA
Rfam family: Bacterial small subunit ribosomal RNA
Source: RNAcentral
AAGGAAUAGUAGGCAAUGGGCGAAAGCCUGACCUCGCGACGCCGCGUGAAGGAUGAAGGCCUUCGGGUCGUAAACUUCUUUUGUCAGGGAUGAAUAAUGACAGUACCUGAUGAAUAAGUCACGGCUAACUACGUGCCAGCAGCCGCGGUAAAACGUAGGUGGCUAACGUUAUCCGGAUUUACUGGGCGUAAAGCGUGCGCAGGCGGCCUUUCAAGUCAGAUGUAAAAUCUCCCGGCUUAACUGGGAGGGACCAUUUGAUACUGUGAGGCUGGAGUACAACAGAGGAAAGCGGAAUUCCCGGUGUAGUGGUGGAAUGCGUAGAUAUCGGGAGGAACACCAGUGGCGAAAGCGGCUUUCUGGGUUGUUACUGACGCUGAUGCACGAAAGCGUGGGGAGCGAAC